This 554-nucleotide non-coding RNA is filed under the name Pongo abelii (Sumatran orangutan). Lineage: Eukaryota; Metazoa; Chordata; Mammalia; Primates; Hominidae. The record is from RNAcentral.
UUAGACCUGGAUCACAUACAGCAGCUGAGAGGAGCCUCACAAGCAAGUCUUGUACUUCACCCAUGCUGUCCCCUAUAUUUAGCAAUCCCUCUUGAAGAACACUCAGCCACACUGUAUGACACACCUGGGUGGAGAAGACAGUGUAGCCCCUUUGAAGUUACUGCUUGGAUGAUUAAUGAUGAUGAAGCAACAACAAAGCCAAGACGGGCAUGUACACGAGCCUGUGCAUGCAAAACGGUCUCAAAGUCAUGCAACAGCACCACUACAACUUGCAAAUAAUGUCAGACUUGAAAUGAAGCUACAUGUCUCACAAGUGGCAACUUUUAAGUAACCCUGAAAGUAUUAAGAAGCAAUGAAGGCAAAUCUUAUUUUGUAUAACUUAAAUUUAAUUUUCUACUAAUAUUUUACAUGUUUAAGAAAAACAAGCUUUUAUUAAAAUUUGAACAUUCGAGCAAUAUACUUCAUUGACUGAUACAUUAAUUUAAAAAUUCUGAAAAUUGUUCAAGAUACCAACUUAUAUAAAGUCUACCAGGAUAUUAAAGUACUUACACAAA